UGUGUUUGUAUGCAAAUGUACAGUAUUUUCAUAUUGGUGUACUUAUCCAUUCUUCUUAUCUCUUUUGACAUGUUGCCAAGGAGGCCCUCGACAUAAAAAUACUGGAGGCCAUUGUUGGGAAAAUGGCAAGCGGUUUCUUCAAGCUGUUGUCCUCUCGGAAGUGCAACAUAGGACUCCUGUCUCUUAGUGGAUUCAGAGUUCCCUGAUUUACUCAAACACAACAACUGCAAGGCCAGUCACAUCAUACCUUCCCUUGCCUAUGGACAAUGUUAUCCAGACAGGAUUGGACAACCCUGGGCACCCCUUCAUAAAGACUGUUGGCAUGGUAGCCGGAGACGAGGAGUCCUAUCGGGAUGGAUCACAACGGACUGUGUGGUCCGUGUCUUUUCACAGUGAAUUGUUAUGCCUACUACCUAUCUUGCUGGAACUUCAGUGCAUUUAAAAAAAAAUCUAAUGGCGGUCACUGUGAAAAAGAUAUUCUAAAGCUACUACAGAUAUUGGAGUGUCACCCAUUCCUUAUAAAUGUGUUAUACAGAUAAAACCUAGAUGAAAGGGGA
Oncorhynchus tshawytscha (Chinook salmon) is the source of this 557-nucleotide long non-coding RNA. Lineage: Eukaryota; Metazoa; Chordata; Actinopteri; Salmoniformes; Salmonidae. The record is from Ensembl.